Molecule: long non-coding RNA, 765 nt
Organism: Oxyura jamaicensis (ruddy duck)
Lineage: Eukaryota; Metazoa; Chordata; Aves; Anseriformes; Anatidae
Exons: 3
Source: RefSeq, a predicted model, not a curated record
CACACAAAUGCCCUUGGCUGCACACCAAAGAUCGGACCUCAGCAUGAUAGCUCUGACCUAUUUCUCCGUUAUGGCACACAAUGUCCACUGUCUGAAGAGCCUGGCAGCUGGAAAACACGAGGAGGACAGAGAAAUGAAGUUGAGAGAAGCCUUUCCAAAUUCUUCAAUCAGGUCCAAACAAGCUUUGAACACAGGCUGCUCUGCUAUUGAUUAGGAGUGCCCAAAGAGCUGAGAUCUGUCAGGCCCACAGAUGGAUUUAGCUCUCAGUGAAGAUAAAAGGCAUAAACUGAGUGGUGAUCGACUCCCAGCUCUCGUGGCUACACCGCCGAGGAGAGGGACAGGAUAACUCUCAGUUCUGGCUCAUUACAGACUUGAUGGUAUCUCCCUUUGUUUUUCUGAGGAGGUGAGGCUGCGAUGCUCUCCAAUGUGUGUGACACAACCUCGAACAUGGGCAGAGCCAGGCAGGGAAGGGAUUCAUCAGGGCAAUGGAUGAACAAAAAAAAAACCCUGUGGGGAGCAGUUCAGUCCCCAAAAGCUGUUUCAGGCCUCCCACAACAUUUUCUUUUGGGAUUAAACUCAACCUCCUUUACUAUCCUCCUUGUCUUUUUCUUCCUGUUGUCCCGCGUAGAUUGAUUUCCAAAUGAAAAUAAAUGAUGGCUCUGGAAAUAAAAAGCCUCCUCUUUUCAUUGCCCUCCAGACUGCAUGUGGCAACUGCUGGCUCGCCAAAGCCUUGCUCUAAAUCCAGCGUCUGGACAUGCACGUGCG